UCGAUCAUGGCUCAGAUUGAAACGUUUGCGGGAUGCUUCACACAUGCAAGUCGAACGGCAGCACGGACUUCGGUCUGGUGGCGAGGGCGAACGGUGAGUAAUGACGGAACGCCUAGUAGGGAUAAUCACAGCGAAAGCUAUUACCGUGGCAUACAUGCCUCCUCGGGGAAAGCGGGGACCGGCUCUCCUGCACCAUUAGGAGCGGCCGAUACUGGAAUGACGCUAGUUGGUGGGGUAGCGGCUCACCAAGGCGACGAUCCGUAGCUGGUUUGAGAGGACGACCAGCCACACUGGGACCGAGACACGGCCCAGACUCCUAUUGUGGAGGCAGCAGGAAUUCGAUACCGGGGAAUCCCUGAUCCAGCCAUCCCGCGUGUGCGAUGAAGGCCUUCGGGUUGUAAAGCACUUUUGGCAGGUGAAGAAACGGCACGAGCAACACCCGUGCAACUGACGGUACCUGCAGAAUAAGCACCGGCUAACUACGUGCCAGCAGCCGCGGUAAUACGUAGGGUGCAAGCGCUAAUCGGAAUUACUGGGCGAAGCGUGCGCAGUGAAACUGGUAAGAAAGCAUGUGAAAUCCCAGAGCUUAACUUUGGAACCGUAUUUAAAUUACCGAGCUAGAGUGUGUCAGAGGGAGGUGGAAUUCCGCGUGUAGCAGUGAAAUGCGUAGAUAUGCGGAGGAACACCGACGGCGAAGGCAGCCUCCUGGGACAACACUGACGCCGGCGCAUCGAAAAGCGUGGAGCAAACAGGAUUAGAUACCCUGGUAGUCCACGCUCAAACGAUGUCAACUAGCUGUUGGGGCCUUCGGGCCUGUAGCGCAGCUAACGCGUGAAGUUGACCUCGCUCAGGGAGUACGGUCGCAAGAUUAAAAUCCUCAAAGGAAUUGACGGGGACCCGCACAAGCGGUGGAUGAUGUGGAUUAAUUCGGAUGCAACGCGAAAACCUUAUCUAGCCUUUGACAUGUCUGGAACCGAAGAGAUUUGGGAGUGCUCGCAGAGAACCGAAACACAGGUGCUGCAUGGCUGUCGUCAGCUCGUGUCGUGAGCGUUAGGGUCCCGCAACGAGCGCAACCUUAGCCAUUAGUUGCUACGGAAAGGGCACUCUAAUGAGACUGCCGGUGACAAACCGGAGGAAGGUGGGGAUGACGUCAGUGUCCAUGGCCCUUAUGGGUAGGGGUUUACCGGUCAUACAAUGGUCGGGACAGAGGGUCGCCAACCGCGAUGGGGAGCCGAAUCCCAGAACCCGAUCGUAGUCCGAUCGCAGUCUGCAACUCGACUGCGUGAAGUCGGAAUCGCUAGUAAUCGCGGAUCAGCAUGUCGCAGUGAAUACGUUCCUGGUCUUGUACACACUGCCCGUCACACCAUGGGAGUGGGUUUUACCAGAAGUAGUUAGCCUAAACGUAAGGAGGGCGAUUACCACGGUAGGAUUCAUGACCGGGGGUGAAGUCGUAACAAGGUAA
This 1462-nucleotide ribosomal RNA is filed under the name uncultured Bordetella sp. Its description in RNAcentral is "partial 16S-23S ribosomal RNA intergenic spacer". It matches the Rfam family "Bacterial small subunit ribosomal RNA". Lineage: Bacteria; Pseudomonadati; Pseudomonadota; Betaproteobacteria; Burkholderiales; Alcaligenaceae. The record is from RNAcentral.